This 546-nucleotide ribosomal RNA is filed under the name uncultured kinetoplastid. RNAcentral describes it as "bacterial SSU rRNA". It matches the Rfam family "Eukaryotic small subunit ribosomal RNA", at positions 615 to 1026 of the family's 1831-position model. Lineage: Eukaryota; Euglenozoa; Kinetoplastea. The record is from RNAcentral.
GCUGUUAAGGGUUCGUAGUUGAAUUGUGGAUCUAGAAGCCGGGGCCCCCUCCUUUGCCCCGUGCUCAGGAACACCCCGAUCUAUUUCCGAGAACACUAGAAACUAAUAUCACGGGAGCGUUUCCCGCCGCUUCGCGAGCAAUGCACGCAGGCGGGCGUCCGUGUUCAUUACUGUGACUAAGAAGUGCGACCAAAGCAGUCCAUCGACAUGAAUUAGAAAGCAUGGGAUAACAAAGGGCAUCCUACAGACUACCGUUAAGGCUUUUGUUGGUUUUAAAGGUCAGUGGGAGAUUACGGGUUGGUGGACCGGCGUUCGGAGGGCUCGUUUCCUCCUGCGCUUCCCGCUCGGUCUGGCUUGUCCGGUCGGCGCGGGCCUGCUUCAACUCAGGAAUGAAGGAGGGUUGCUCGGGGGAGACGUACUUGAGCGUGAGAGGUGAAAUUCUUAGACCGCUCAAAGACGAACUACAGCGAAGGCUUCUCCAAGGAUACCUUCCUCAAUCAAGAACCAAAGUGUGGAGAUCGAAGAUGAUUAGGACCAUUGUAGUCC